UUUCCGAAGAGGUAAACCCAGGGCAACCUGGGGACACAAAGCUGCGGAUCCUGAAAUUUAUCCUAGGCGAAUUUCAGGAUGGCCGAGCUGGCGAA
RNAcentral lists this non-coding RNA (95 nucleotides) under Geobacteraceae bacterium. Its description in RNAcentral is "c-di-GMP sequence". It matches the Rfam family "c-di-GMP-I riboswitch aptamer". Rfam says of the family: GEMM was predicted in a large-scale screen for bacterial structured RNA regulatory elements. Genes associated with GEMM are involved in a diverse array of functions, including chemotaxis regulation, signal transduction, secretion and chitin. Lineage: Bacteria; Pseudomonadati; Thermodesulfobacteriota; Desulfuromonadia; Geobacterales; Geobacteraceae. The record is from RNAcentral.